AUUGAACGCUUGCGGCAGGCCUAACACAUGCAAGUCGAGCGAGCGGCGGACGGGUGAUUAAUGUCUGGGAAACUGCCUGAUGGAGGGGGAUAACUACUGGAAACGGUAGCUAAUAACGCAUACCAUCAGAUGUGCCCAGAUGGGAUAAGCUAGUAGGUGGGGUACCGGCUCACCUAGGCGAAGAUCCCUAGCUGGGCUGAGAGGAUGACCAGCAACACUGGAACGGAGACACGGUCCAGACUCCGACGGGAGGCAGCAGUGGGGAAGAUUGCACAAUGGGCGCAAGCCUGAUGCAGCCAUGCCGCGUGUGUGAAGAAGGCCUUCGGGUUGUAAAGCACUUGCAGCGGGGAGGCGUUACCCGCAGAAGAAGCACCGGCUAACUCCGUGCCAGCAGCCGCGGUAAUAC
This 406-nucleotide ribosomal RNA is filed under the name uncultured bacterium. Its description in RNAcentral is "partial 16S ribosomal RNA". It matches the Rfam family "Bacterial small subunit ribosomal RNA", at positions 29 to 526 of the family's 1533-position model. The record is from RNAcentral.